Molecule: ribosomal RNA, 433 nt
Filed under: uncultured bacterium
Lineage: Bacteria
Description: partial 16S ribosomal RNA
Rfam family: Bacterial small subunit ribosomal RNA
Source: RNAcentral
AACGAACGCUGGCGGCAUGCCUAACACAUGCAAGUCGAACGAGACCUUCGGGUCUAGUGGCGCACGGGUGCGUAACGCGUGGGAACCUGCCCUUAGGUUCGGAAUAACUCCCCGAAAGGGGUGCUAAUACCGGAUAAUGUCUUCGGACCAAAGAUUUAUCGCCUUUGGAUGGGCCCGCGUUGGAUUAGCUCGUUGGUAGGGUAAAAGCCUACCAAGGCGACGAUCCAUAGCUGGUCUGAGAGGAUGAUCAGCCACACUGGGACUGAGACACGGCCCAGACUCGUACGGGGAGCAGCAGUGGGGAAUAUUGGAGAAUGGUCGAAGGCCUGAUCCAGCAAUGCCGCGUGAGUGAUGAAGGCCUUAGGGUUGUAAAGCUCUUUUACCCGGGAUGAUAAUGACAGUACCGGGAGAAUAAGCUCCGGCUAACUCCGUG